Homo sapiens (human) is the source of this 798-nucleotide long non-coding RNA. RefSeq annotates it as PRICKLE2 antisense RNA 2. The record is from RefSeq and is marked validated. The transcript has 4 exons. Lineage: Eukaryota; Metazoa; Chordata; Mammalia; Primates; Hominidae.
UCAAGAACAGGCUGAGGCUAUCUAUAGUGAUACAGAAGUGAAAUGUUUUUGAGAGCAUCCUGCUUGUGAACAGAUUCCUAUUUCCGUGAGGAGGUGACCUCGAAGAAGAGCAGCUUCUAUUCUGCUGGGAGGUGUACUGCCUUCUGGUAUCAGGCUUCUGCAUCCCGGGAAAGCUCGGGAUAACCUGAGGCACCCCCUUGAAAAACAAAAGAGCUUGAUCAGAGCAGGAGGGUCCUGUUGCACAAGCCCAGCAUCUACUAUCAGUUUCACCUAAAUCAGCUGAUACUGUCCCCAAGAUGGAACUGUACUGUCACAGGUCACACUCCAACUUGAGAAGCACUCCUUUCCCCUCUAACUACGAACAGAACUGGAGAGCUACUUUCUGGCUGGGUGACUUGGGGAAAUUUGUAAACCUCUUGAGAUGCAUCAGUAAGAUGGGCAUAAUGACAGGAAAUCAGCAGCUCCAAGAGGGCAGAAACUGUGCUCCUGUUUGCUAGCCCUGACCUCAUACCUGGUAUUCAGUAUGCAGGAAGAAGGUUUAGUAAGGCCUAAAAUUCCCCAAGGAAAGAAAGCAUGCCUCAAGACUGUGAAUGCCCUCCAGACAUUUACAACUCAUACUGAUGAUUUAGCUCCCUUUCAGUAGGGUCUUUCCUAUAUUAUUUAUUAUUUAUGUGCUGGGGCAGAGACAUGAAGAAAAUGGAGCUGUUUAGAACAGGAGUUUGCAAACUGCAAUGGCCAGUGAACCAAAUCCAGCUCACCGCUCACUGCCUGUUUUUCUAAAUAAAGUUGUAUUGGAAC